AGCGAACGCUGGCGGCAGGCUUAACACAUGCAAGUCGAGCGGGCAUAGCAAUAUGUCAGCGACAGACGGGUGAGUAACGCGUGGGAACGUACCUUUUGGUUCGGAACAACACAGGGAAACUUGUGCUAAUACCGGAUAAGCCCUUACGGGGAAAGAUUUAUCGCCGAAAGAUCGGCCCGCGUCUGAUUAGCUAGUUGGUGAGGUAAUGGCUCACCAAGGCGACGAUCAGUAGCUGGUCUGAGAGGAUGAUCAGCCACAUUGGGACUGAGACACGGCCCAAACUCCUACGGGAGGCAGCAGUGGGGAAUAUUGGACAAUGGGCGCAAGCCUGAUCCAGCCAUGCCGCGUGAGUGAUGAAGGCCCUAGGGUUGUAAAGCUCUUUUGUGCGGGAAGAUAAUGACGGUACCGCAAGAAUAAGCCCCGGCUAACUUCGUGCCAGCCGCCGCCGUAG
This 451-nucleotide ribosomal RNA is filed under the name uncultured bacterium. Its description in RNAcentral is "partial 16S ribosomal RNA". It matches the Rfam family "Bacterial small subunit ribosomal RNA", at positions 29 to 523 of the family's 1533-position model. The record is from RNAcentral.